RNAcentral lists this ribosomal RNA (474 nucleotides) under Bacillus sp. QC1. Its description in RNAcentral is "bacterial SSU rRNA". It matches the Rfam family "Bacterial small subunit ribosomal RNA", at positions 1079 to 1533 of the family's 1533-position model. Lineage: Bacteria; Bacillati; Bacillota; Bacilli; Caryophanales; Bacillaceae. The record is from RNAcentral.
GUUAAGUCCCGCAACGAGCACAACCCUUGAUCUUAGUUGCCAGCAUUCAGUUGGGCACUCUAAGGUGACUGCCGGUGACAAACCGGAGGAAGGUGGGGAUGACGUCAAAUCAUCAUGCCCCUUAUGACCUGCGCUACACACGUGCUACAAUGGGCAGAACAAAGGGCAGCGAAACCGUCGAGGUUAAGCCAAUCCCACAAAUCUGUUCUCAGUUCGGAUCGCAGUCUGCAACUCGACUUGCGUGAAGCUGGAAUCGCUAGUAAUCGCGGAUCAGCAUGCCGGCGGUGAAUACGUUCCUCGGGCCUGUUGUACACACCAGCCACUGUCACACCACGAUGAGUUUGUAACACCGCGAAGUCGGUGAGGUAACCUUUUUGGAGCCAGGCGCCGAAGGUGGGACAGAGUGAUUGGGGUGAAGUCGUAACAAGGUAGCCGUAUCGGAAGGUGCGGCAUGGUAUCACGGUCCUUUCUAAU